Molecule: ribosomal RNA, 206 nt
Filed under: uncultured bacterium
Lineage: Bacteria
Description: partial 16S ribosomal RNA
Rfam family: Bacterial small subunit ribosomal RNA
Source: RNAcentral
UGCGUAGGCGGGCCCGUUAGUCAGGGUGAAAUCCCACGGCCCAACCGUGGAAGUGCCUCUGAUACUGCGGGCCUGGAGGGAAAUAGGGGCGUGCGGAACUUCCGGUGGAGCGGUGAAAUGCGUAGAUAUCGGAAGGAACACCGGUGGCGAAAGCGGCGCGCUGGAUUUCUACUGACGCUGAGGCACGAAAGCCAGGGGAGCAAACG